GAUGAACGCUGGCGGCGUGCUUAACACAUGCAAGUCGAACGAAGCACCUCUCCCGAAGAUUGACACAGCUUGCUGUAGAUUGAUUCAUUUGAGGUGACUGAGUGGCGGACGGGUGAGUAACGCGUGGGUAACCUGCCUCAUAGAGGGGGACAACAGUUGGAAACGACUGCUAAUACCGCAUAGUAAGAAGAAUUCGCAUGUUUUCUUCUUGAAAGAUUUAUCGCUAUGAGAUGGACCCGCGUCUGAUUAGCUAGUUGGUAAGGUAACGGCUUACCAAGGCGACGAUCAGUAGCCGGCUUGAGAGAGUGAACGGCCACAUUGGGACUGAGACACGGCCCAAACUCCUACGGGAGGCAGCAGUGGGGAAUAUUGCACAAUGGGGGAAACCCUGAUGCAGCGACGCCGCGUGAGUGAAGAAGUAUUUCGGUAUGUAAAGCUCUAUCAGCAGGGAAGAUAAUGACGGUACCUGACGAAGAAGCCCCGGCUAACUACGU
RNAcentral lists this ribosomal RNA (494 nucleotides) under uncultured bacterium. Its description in RNAcentral is "partial 16S ribosomal RNA". It matches the Rfam family "Bacterial small subunit ribosomal RNA", at positions 28 to 506 of the family's 1533-position model. The record is from RNAcentral.